UUUCCGUAGGUGAACCUGCGGAAGGAUCAUUCAUAAUAAGUGUUUUAUGGCACUUUUUUAAAUCCAUAUCCCCCUCGUGUGCAAUGUCAGGGUUGAUUUUUCUCUCGAGAUGAUCAGCCCCAAACAUCAACUAUAUCUCAACUCUUUGUCUGAAAAAUAUUAUGAAUAAAACAAUUCAAAAUACAACUUUCAACAACGGAUCUCUUGGCUCUC
RNAcentral lists this unclassified non-coding RNA (213 nucleotides) under plant metagenome. Its description in RNAcentral is "partial contains small subunit ribosomal RNA, internal transcribed spacer 1, and 5.8S ribosomal RNA". The record is from RNAcentral.